GAAGGGCAUGUGCACUGCAGUGUGCCGUGGACCAGUGGCCUCAGCUCAGUGUGUUGACGAGGGUCCCAAGGCACUCGUGUGUGGGGAUGUUAGCAACACACGGCGGGAAGCCCUGAUGCAGUUUCUCACCAAGCAUGUAGCAGACCCCACGCACCCGACACAGGUCAGGCACCCCACACAGGGCACAGACCGCACGCACCCCACACAGGGCAGGCACCCCACACAGGGCACAGACCGCACGCACCCCACACAGGGCACAGACCGCACGCACCCCACACAGGGCACAGACCCCACGCACCCCACACAGGGCAGGCACCCCACACAGGGCACAGACCCCACGCACCCCACACAGGGCACAGACCCCACGCACCCCACACAGGGCACAGACCCCACGCACCCCACACAGGGCACA
Molecule: long non-coding RNA, 412 nt
Filed under: Pan troglodytes (chimpanzee)
Lineage: Eukaryota; Metazoa; Chordata; Mammalia; Primates; Hominidae
Description: long non-coding RNA NONPTRT006449
Source: RNAcentral